UGAGUCCUACGGGGGGCAGCAGUAGGGAAUCUUCCACAAUGGGCGAAAGCCUGAUGGAGCAACGCCGCGUGGGUGAAGAAGGUCUUCGGAUCGUAAAACCCUGUUGUUAGAGAAGAAAGUGCGUGAGAGUAACUGUUCACGUUUCGACGGUAUCUAACCAGAAAGCCACGGCUAACUACGUGCCAGCAGCCGCGGGAAUACGUAGGUGGCAAGCGUUAUCCGGAUUUAUUGGGCGUAAAGGAAACGCAGGCGGGCUUUUAAGGCUGAUGUGAAAGCCUUCGGCUUAACCGGAGUAGGACAUUGGG
RNAcentral lists this ribosomal RNA (305 nucleotides) under uncultured bacterium. Its description in RNAcentral is "bacterial SSU rRNA". It matches the Rfam family "Bacterial small subunit ribosomal RNA", at positions 333 to 630 of the family's 1533-position model. The record is from RNAcentral.